Molecule: ribosomal RNA, 484 nt
Filed under: uncultured bacterium
Lineage: Bacteria
Description: partial 16S ribosomal RNA
Rfam family: Bacterial small subunit ribosomal RNA
Source: RNAcentral
GAUGAACGCUGGCGGCGUGCUUAACACAUGCAAGUCGAACGGUGAAGCAGGAGCUUGCUCUUGUGGAUCAGUGGCGAACGGGUGAGUAACACGUGAGCAACCUGCCCCUGACUCUGGGAUAAGCGCUGGAAACGGCGUCUAAUACUGGAUAUGUGAUGUGACCGCAUGGUCUGCAUCUGGAAAGAAUUUCGGUUGGGGAUGGGCUCGCGGCCUAUCAGCUUGUUGGUGAGGUAAUGGCUCACCAAGGCGUCGACGGGUAGCCGGCCUGAGAGGGUGACCGGCCACACUGGGACUGAGACACGGCCCAGACUCCUACGGGAGGCAGCAGUGGGGAAUAUUGCACAAUGGGCGGAAGCCUGAUGCGGCAACGCCGCGUGAGGGAUGACGGCCUUCGGGUUGUAAACCUCUUUUAGCAGGGAAGAAGCGAAAGUGACGGUACCUGCAGAAAAAGCACCGGCUAACUACGUGCCAGCAGCCGCAGUAA